Molecule: long non-coding RNA, 1689 nt
Organism: Mytilus trossulus (common blue mussel)
Lineage: Eukaryota; Metazoa; Mollusca; Bivalvia; Mytilida; Mytilidae
Exons: 3
Source: RefSeq, a predicted model, not a curated record
UUUAAUCAGUUGUGUUAUUCGAUCAUUCACAAGAAUUUAGAGAAUUUACGAUAUGGUUUUGUGGAAAAUUGAAAGAACCCACUUGGUAAAAAAAUGAAAACUCUGAAACUCUGAAGAUAGCAUUAAAUAUACGACGUUAUAUAUACGAGGAAUCGUCGAAACUUACACAUGUAGAGAAACCAAGAUAAGCUGAAGUUGAAGUCGGAGAUGAUAAUCAUUAUAGUUCAGGUGGCAGUGGCAGUUUAGAAUACAAUAACUUGACCGUUUAUUUGGAAACAAUAAGUAAAAAGACCAUGACAUUAGCUAUAGCAAAACUUGGCAAGCUGACCAACCAACUGUGCAACAAGAAAAUGUUAGAUUCAUCUCUUCAGCUGAAUAAGAAUGAUGUUCUUGAAAUAUUUAAAAUUAUUUGAUAUCCAAAUUUAAAGGACAUGUGAAAAUGAUAAAAUAGUAUUAUCCGAUGAGAUUGUCAAUUGUUAAUUCAUUACAAAUUAUUUAGAUAAAAGAAAAAAAUAUAAAUUGGACACCCUGAAUAACUUUUAUAUUGUGUUGUUUGAAUAAUUACAAGACAGACUGUCAACGUGUAAAUGUAGUGUACAAACGAAAUAUGAUCAGCUGGAUGAUUCAUAACCCGCAUCAACGAAAUAGGAGGGUGAGGCACUAAACUGAAGGAGUAAUACUCUGCAAUCGCAUAAUAGGAGGGUCUAUCAAUACGCUUGGGGAGAUUCGUAGACUGUAGCAUUGAUAGAGGAUAGGAGAAUAAAAAAUGAAGUGAACAAGUUGAGUUUAUUAACUAUUAUUGCAUUAAAUUUUAUAAUGAUGAAUUACAUUUUCUAAUUUGUUGAAAGGAAUUUCUUCCAAGAAGGAACAUUAAAUGAAGUGAACUUUCUGUGUUUAACAAAUGGGGAAAAAAUUAUAAAUAUAUUACAAGUUUCUAUAUUUGUUUGAAAGAUUUGAUAUUACUUGGAAGAAAUUUCUUCCAACUUCAUAGAGGACGACAAUUAUCACAAGUUAAGUUUAUUAGCUAAACUUGCCUACUUUAUUAGAAAUGAUUUUCCUAAUUAGUUGGAAGAAAUUUCUUCCAAGAAGGAACAUUAAAUGAAGUGAACUAUCUGUGUUAAAAAAAUUGAAAUUAAUAUGUAAAUGUAUCAAAUGUUUCUAUAUUUAAUGGGAGAAAUUUUGAAUGGUUUGAUAUUACUUGGAAGAAAUUUCUUCCAACUUGAGAGAGGAUGAAAACGAAAUGAACAAGUUGAGUUUAUAAACUGAAAUUGCCAACUUUAUUAGAAAUGAAUUUUCUAAUUAGUUGGAAGAAAUUUCUUCCAAGAAGGAACAUUAAAUGAAGUGAACUAUCUGUGUUAAAACAUUGAAAUAAAUAUGUUUAAAUGUAUCAAAUGUUUCUAUAUUUGAUGGGAGAAAUUUUGAAUGGUUUGUUAUUACUUGGAAGAAAUUUCUUCCAAAUUGAGCGAGGAUGCAUAUGAAGAGAACAAGUUGACUUUACUAACUAAAAUUGUAUACUUUAUUGGAAUAAAAUACGUUUUCUAAUUUGUUGGAAGAAAUUUCUUCCAAGGAAUCGGGAAAGUUUUAUGAACAAAAUGUAGAGAACGAUUAUUGCUUUCCAUUUUAUUCAUUUAUAGGUUACUGUUCUUCAUUUCAUUGUGAUUUGAAUAUUUUGUAAAAUAUAAAUAGUAA